ACAUCCCGAGAAUUUACUGGAAACAGAGAAGUGCCUCGCAAGAGGAAUUCGGAGACAGGUGCUGCAUGGCUGUCGUCAGCUCGUGUCGUGAGAUGUUGGGUUAAGUCCCGCAACGAGCGCAACCCUUGUCUUUAGUUGCCAUCAUUAAGUUGGGCACUCUAAAGAGACUGCUGGUGUCAAACCGGAGGAAGGUGGGGAUGACGUCAAGUCCUCAUGGCCUUUAUGACCAGGGCUACACACGUACUACAAUGGCAGGUACAAAGGGCAGCCACUUAGCGAUAAGGCGCGAAUCCCGUAAAACCUGUCUCAGUCCGGAUUGGAGUCUGCAACUCGACUCCAUGAAGUUGGAAUCGCUAGUAAUCGCAGAUCAGCACGCUGCGGUGAAUACGUUCCCGGGCCUU
Molecule: ribosomal RNA, 401 nt
Filed under: uncultured Desulfocapsa sp.
Lineage: Bacteria; Pseudomonadati; Thermodesulfobacteriota; Desulfobulbia; Desulfobulbales; Desulfocapsaceae
Description: bacterial SSU rRNA
Rfam family: Bacterial small subunit ribosomal RNA
Source: RNAcentral